UUUAAUUGAUGACUUGUAUGAAGGAUUGGAUGAAAUAUAAACUGUCUCUUAAUUAUAUUUAGAAUUUAAUUUUUUAAUUAAAAAGUUAAAAUAAAUUAGAAAGACGAGAAGACCCUAUAGAGUUUUAUAAGUAAAAUUAAUUGAGAUUAUUUGUAAAGGUUAAAAUUAAGAUUAAUUUAUUUAUUUUGUUGGGGUGACAGAAAAAUAUGAAAAACUUUUUAUAUGUUUAAACAUUAAUAAGUGGUUAAAUGAUCCAAUAUUAUUGAUUAUAAGAAAAAAUUACCUUAGGGAUAACAGCGUAAUUUUUUUUUUUAGUUCACAUAAAAAAAAAAGUUUGCGACCUCGAUGUUGGAUUAAGAUAAAAUUUAAAUGCAGAAG
Molecule: ribosomal RNA, 378 nt
Filed under: Sesamia nonagrioides (Mediterranean corn borer)
Lineage: Eukaryota; Metazoa; Arthropoda; Insecta; Lepidoptera; Noctuidae
Description: partial 16S ribosomal RNA
Source: RNAcentral